CGGAUCGGAGUCUGCAACCCGACUCCGUGAAGCUGGAUUCGCUAGUAAUCGCGCAUCAGCCAUGGCGCGGUGAAUACGUUCCCGGGUCUUGUACACACCGCCCGUCACACCAUGGGAGUCGGAAAUGCCCGAAGUCCGGGACCGCGAGGACCGGCCUAGGGCGAAACUGGUAACUGGGGCUAAGUCGUAACAAGGUACC
RNAcentral lists this ribosomal RNA (199 nucleotides) under uncultured bacterium. Its description in RNAcentral is "partial 16S ribosomal RNA". It matches the Rfam family "Bacterial small subunit ribosomal RNA", at positions 1294 to 1500 of the family's 1533-position model. The record is from RNAcentral.